Molecule: long non-coding RNA, 199 nt
Filed under: Lupinus angustifolius (narrow-leaved blue lupine)
Lineage: Eukaryota; Viridiplantae; Streptophyta; Magnoliopsida; Fabales; Fabaceae
Description: long non-coding RNA (LANG_LNC001545)
Source: RNAcentral
ACCAUUUGAAAUUUGUCCCAUAAAAUUGAAAUGAUUUGUUAUAAUCAAAGUUAUUCGGCUCAAUAGUAUUCUCUGCGAAUGCUAUAGCAGCAUGAAACAUCUUAAAAUUGUUGUUUUUAUAGCUUGCAGCAAUUCUAAAUGGCACAAAAGAAUAAUUACAAGAUGAGUCACGACUAGGUUGCUCUCUUUAAGAUAUUUC